This 623-nucleotide long non-coding RNA is filed under the name Trifolium pratense (red clover). RNAcentral describes it as "long non-coding RNA (TPRA_LNC009760)". Lineage: Eukaryota; Viridiplantae; Streptophyta; Magnoliopsida; Fabales; Fabaceae. The record is from RNAcentral.
GCUAGUCCAGUCCUCACAGUCCUUGUGAGAUUGUCCACUAUAAAUGCUCAGUUCAGAACCUUCUGCUUCGCAUCAAAAACUUGAUCACAACUGGAUCAAUACAAACUGCUUUUCUUCACUCGAAAAGACUUUUACACAAAUGCUUUUCUUCACUCGAAAAGACUUUCACACAAAUGCUUUUCUUCACUCGAAAAGACUUUCAUUCACAAUGCUUUUCUUCACUCGAAAAGACUUUCUCACAAACACUCAAUCUAACAUGAAAGAAAGACUUGAGAGGGUUACAAUAUUUGUGGGGAAUAUGGGUUAAAUCAACUCAAGUGAGAGAUUGAUAAUAGCAAGCUUUGUCUAUUUGUUUUUCACAAAUUUAUGAUAUAUCUUUAAUGCUUUGCUUUGCUUUUGAAGAGUUUAUUACUUGUUGAUUUUUGCUUCAACUAAGUAUAUGAUUUGAUUCUUUUUGCAAACUCUUAAUCUUCUCUUCAUGUAGCUCCAUUGUAUUUAUAGGCAAAUAUAACCUUGGAGGAGCGUAUGAGAGAGGGAUUUGAAUUUCAAAUCCAACUUGACAUGUCACAAUGUUGUGCUGUCAAUUUACUGUGAAUAGUGCAUUAUCGUUGCUUCAGUAACAU